This 492-nucleotide ribosomal RNA is filed under the name Triticum aestivum (bread wheat). Its description in RNAcentral is "partial small subunit ribosomal RNA". Lineage: Eukaryota; Viridiplantae; Streptophyta; Magnoliopsida; Poales; Poaceae. The record is from RNAcentral.
AUGAUAACCGACUUGCAAGCUGCUUGUUUUACAAGACAACUAAUUGAGUUCGCAGAAUCGAACCGGGAUAUGAAACAAGGCUGGUUAAAUUUACAGAGCAACAGGGAAACUAACAGAACCGCAUCGCUUAUAAUGAAUUACCACUUGUUGGAUCACCUCCCAUGUCAUGCUUCACGACGGCCUCUUGGUCUUGGUUUUAGUGCAUCCUCUCAACCGCUUGUUCUGGCACAAGUUUCAGGGCUUAUUCUGAGCCCCUCCAAGCUUCUAAAACUCCUCAAAUUCAGCUUCCAAACGCAGCUUCUAACUCCAAGUGGCGAUUUCAGCAACGUUCGGCACCGAAGUAGCUUCUCCCAGCUUGGCAGCCCAGCUGGGGAGGCUGCUAGCCGGCUGGGCGCUAGUAUGGACCGGCUGGAAGCAGCUAGCCCAGUUCGUCCUAGUGUUUAUGGCGUCGGAGAGAGGGCUCAGAGGUUGAGGCGGGAUCCGUCGAGGUGA